AUUGAUAAUGCACUAUCAUAACCUAAGAUAAGUGGUUUACAUUAUUGGCAGGAGUCUUGGUGAAGUUCUCAAAGGAAGUAAGAGGCUUAACUUGAGCUUGAACCGAGCGUGGAGUUGGAGCAAUUGAUAAAAUAUGUAGUUAAUAAUGAAAAUUUCCUUGGUCCAUUGGACUUGUGAGUGAAAUUACAUUGCUUAGUUGGAGAAAUUCUACAAGAAAUCCUCUACUUCCUCCCUAGAAUAUUUAUAUUUCUGGUGGGGAAUUUUGCCUGACAGAUGGAAGUUCUGACUGAUGAAGCGAAUCUGGAGAGUUGAGUUCUUCAUAAAAACAGAAGGGAAAUAAGUAAUUAAUGUCUGGCGGGGGAUGAAGACUUGAAACAACGGAGUUUCUGUUAGUUGCAGAUAUCUGAAGUACUUUCAAUGUAAAUUAUAUCAAGACAGAUUAGCACUCUGCAGAUUAUUGUUCACUUUCCAUAUGGUAGAAGAGCUGAGAUUGUAAAACAGAAUAACCAAAAUCAGUUUCUAUCUGGGGAUUACUAAUCUGUCUUGAUAAAGUAAACCAUCAAACUUGAA
This 570-nucleotide unclassified non-coding RNA is filed under the name Hevea brasiliensis (rubber tree). Lineage: Eukaryota; Viridiplantae; Streptophyta; Magnoliopsida; Malpighiales; Euphorbiaceae. The record is from RNAcentral.